CCUACGGGAGGCAGCAGUAGGGAAUAUUGCUCAAUGGGGGAAACCCUGAAGCAGCAACGCCGCGUGGAGGAUGAAGGUUUUCGGAUUGUAAACUCCGUGUGUUAGAGAAGAGAAUGACGGUAUCUAACGAAUAAGCACCGGCGAACUCCGUGCCAGCAGCCGCGGUAAUACGGAGGGGGCAAGCGUUACUCGGAAUCACUGGGCGUAAAGAGCGCGUAGGCGGGUUAGCAAGUCAGAUGUGAAAUCCUAUGGCUUAACCAUAGAACUGCAUUUGAAACUGUUAUUCUAGAGUAUGGGAGAGGUAGUUGGAAUUCUUGGUGUAGGGGUCACAUCCUU
RNAcentral lists this ribosomal RNA (336 nucleotides) under uncultured bacterium. RNAcentral's name for it is "partial 16S ribosomal RNA". It matches the Rfam family "Bacterial small subunit ribosomal RNA", at positions 338 to 691 of the family's 1533-position model. The record is from RNAcentral.